UACAGAGGUCUCAAGCGUUGUCCGGAUUUAUUGGGCGUAAAGAGCGUGUAGGCGGCCUGGUAGGUCAGCUGUGAAAACUCGAGGCUCAACCUCGAGACGCCGGUUGAAACCAUCAGGCUAGAGUCCGGAAGAGGAGGGUGGAAUUCCCGGUGUAGCGGUGAAAUGCGCAGAUAUCGGGAAGAACACCCGUGGCUAAGGCGGCUCUCUAGUACGGUACUGACGCUGAGACGCGAAAGCGUGGGGAGCGAACAGG
This 253-nucleotide ribosomal RNA is filed under the name uncultured bacterium. Its description in RNAcentral is "partial 16S ribosomal RNA". It matches the Rfam family "Bacterial small subunit ribosomal RNA", at positions 524 to 776 of the family's 1533-position model. The record is from RNAcentral.